UAUUUUUAAUCAAAAUUGGCUCUCGCUCUAUGAAUAAAAUCUCUAAUUUGUUUACACACACGCAGAGUAGAUACAGGCUGCACCCAAUUUUUCCGCCUUCUCCCAGAAGUUACACAGUCAAAAAAUCCGAAUUCCCACUUGAAUUCUUGAUAAUUUCUUUUCUUCUCUCUCCCUCUUGAGUUUCUUUCAUGUGAAGCCACUCUUUUCUUUUUCCUCAACAACUGUGUCUGUAUUUACACUUAUCUGCAACUUUUGAUGCU
Molecule: long non-coding RNA, 260 nt
Filed under: Salvia miltiorrhiza (redroot sage)
Lineage: Eukaryota; Viridiplantae; Streptophyta; Magnoliopsida; Lamiales; Lamiaceae
Description: long non-coding RNA (SMIL_LNC002855)
Source: RNAcentral